AGAGGACAGGAGAUACAAAAGAGGCCUGCAGGAGACCAGCCAUGGAGGAGGAUUACAAGAGACCACCACCAUCCUAUGAAGAAGUUAUCACCGAGCAGCACACGAGCAACACUAGUCAGAGCCGCUCCGCUGAUAACAAGCAGAGCGGCUGCUGCAGAUGUUGCAUUAGCACCAAGAACUGUCUGAUGAGUCCGGAGUGUGGUCGAGCUCUUAACAUCGCCAGCGUGAUUGCCAUGUGCGGCAUGUGCAUUCGAAUGUUUGUCUAACACAGUCUCCUGUGGACCAUCUAUUCCAGAUCUCUCAUCCAGUGGUGGUCUUCUCAAAUUAAAAAGGAAACAAAGACAUUUGCUCGGUUCCAAAACCUAGUGAUCUGCAACAUUUAUAAGCUUUCCCCCAAUACGAAUCCCAAUGCUGUUCCAAAUAGGAUGCAGCACUUCAUUUAUCAUUCACAGAUAAGGUAAUCCCAGAAUGAAUUGACUAAAAUUUCCAUUUCAAAUAGCAAAUGUCAAUUGCAAAGUAUAACUUAUAAACACAAAGUAUAUUUAAUUCAGUACUGACUAAUAUCAUUGAAAAACACUGCCAUGUCAUACAUUCUAGUCUCCUAUGUGAUUCAUGGGCCUCCUUCAUAAAAAAGUAGCACAGUAAAUUCAUAAAUCGUUUGUAAAAUCAUUCCUAUAUUAAGUGUGGCAUUUCAUUAAAUUGGCAUGAGUGACCACUUAAGGUGCAGUCACAUUUAUCAUUGUUAGAUGAAAUAGACAAGUCAUUUUAAAUAGGGAUCCAAG
Molecule: long non-coding RNA, 782 nt
Organism: Cyprinus carpio (common carp)
Lineage: Eukaryota; Metazoa; Chordata; Actinopteri; Cypriniformes; Cyprinidae
Source: Ensembl